GUCCUCUUGAAUUUAAUUUGAGGUUUAACCUGCCCACUGAAAUUUUAAAUGGCCGCAGUAAUUUGACUGUGCAAAGGUAGCAUAAUCAUUAGUUUUUUAAUUAAAAGCUUGUAUGAAGGGUUGGACGAGGUAAAAUCUGUCUCUAUUUAAUUAAUAUAGAAUUUAAUUUUUAAGUUAAAAAGCUUAAAUUUUAUUAAAAGACGAGAAGACCCUAUAGAUCUUUAUAUUAUUUAUAAUAAUUUUAAUUUAGAAUUUUUUAUUUUUUAUUAUAAAUAUUUAUUUUAUUGGGGUAAUAAAAAGAUUAAAUAAAUUCUUUUUUUAAUUUACAUUGAUUUAUGAUUAUAUGAUCCAAUUAUUUUGAUUAAAAGAUUAAGUUACCUUAGGGAUAACAGCGUAAUUUUUUUAGAGAGUUCAUAUCGAUAAAAAAGUUUGCGACCUCGAUGUUGGAUUAAAAAUUAUCUUAGGUGCAGAAGUUUAAGAUUUUGGUCUGUUCGACCAUUAAAUUUUU
RNAcentral lists this ribosomal RNA (508 nucleotides) under Acilius sulcatus. RNAcentral describes it as "partial 16S ribosomal RNA". The stretch from base 385 to 508 matches the Rfam family "Bacterial large subunit ribosomal RNA", at positions 2473 to 2597 of the family's 2925-position model. Lineage: Eukaryota; Metazoa; Arthropoda; Insecta; Coleoptera; Dytiscidae. The record is from RNAcentral.